CUACGGAGGGUGCAAGCGUUGUUCGGAAUUACUGGGCGUAAAGCGCGUGCAGGCGGUAAGGUAAGUCAGAUGUGAAAGCCCCGGGCUCAACCCGGGAAGUGCAUUUGAUACUGCCUUUCUUGAGUAUGGGAGAGGAGAGUGGAAUUCCCAGUGUAGAGGUGAAAUUCGUAGAUAUUGGGAGGAACACCCGUGGCGAAGGCGACUCUCUGGACCAAUACUGACGCUGAGACGCGAAAGCGUGGGGAGCGAACAGGAUUAGAAACCCUAGUAGUCC
This 274-nucleotide ribosomal RNA is filed under the name uncultured bacterium. RNAcentral describes it as "partial 16S ribosomal RNA". It matches the Rfam family "Bacterial small subunit ribosomal RNA", at positions 523 to 796 of the family's 1533-position model. The record is from RNAcentral.